UAUAUAUAGGUAAUUGGGUGUGCGGGUUGUGAUAAGGUCCAAAUAAUUGAAGUCCACCUUAUCACAACCCGCACACCCGAUUACCUA
Paramuricea clavata is the source of this 87-nucleotide non-coding RNA. The record is from the annotation of a GenBank genome assembly. Lineage: Eukaryota; Metazoa; Cnidaria; Anthozoa; Malacalcyonacea; Plexauridae.